This 1329-nucleotide ribosomal RNA is filed under the name Triticum aestivum (bread wheat). RNAcentral describes it as "partial small subunit ribosomal RNA". The record is from RNAcentral. Lineage: Eukaryota; Viridiplantae; Streptophyta; Magnoliopsida; Poales; Poaceae.
AUGGCCGGUGCGGCUAAGGCGUCUUGGAUGGUGGCGAUGAGCAUCGGUGCCGUGGAGGCCCUCAAGGACCAGGCCGGACUCUGCCACUGGAACUAUGCACUAAGAGCAACUUCAAUGGGGCGACCCAUUUCGUCCGCCCGCGUCCGUUUGGAUCGGCGCGGACAAAAGCGACGGUCCAAAGCGCCGACCCAAACGGACGUGCGUCCAUUUUUCGUCCGCGGGCGACCCAUUUCCGGCUUAAUUUUGAGCCGGAUUUGCGUCGGUGCAGACACGAGAUGGACACGCGCGCCUACUCCUCUCCCUGAGCCUGCCCCCGCCGGUCAGUGGCAACCACCACCAUUUCCCCCUAUUAUCCCCCAAAACACUCCCGCCCGCGAGCGCUCCCGUCCCCCAACCAGCCAUGGAGGACGCCAUCGACCUCGACCUCGACGCCGCCGCCGGCCUCGCCUCCCUCGCCUCGUCCGACGCCGUCACCCCCUCCAGCAAAGGCAAGCCUUGUGCCCCGCGCAAGACCGCCACCGCGACCAAGACGAAGAAGGCGCUGACGCCCGAACAGCGGGCAGGGAGUCGGCCAAGAGGAAGGGCCGGAGGCACGCCGCGGACGCGAGGGAUAAGGCCGCCGUGCAGGCCGCCGCCGUCGCCACCGCGCAACAGGAGUUGACCAACGCCCGCGUCACGGCGGCAACGAGGGAGGCGCUCUACAUGCUAGAGGUAAACCCUAGCCAGCACAGCCUCGUCCAAGCCGUGGUCGCCGCGGCCAGCACUGGCUCGUCGGCGUUUCCUCGGAUGGUGCUGCCCGACUCACCCCGCACGUCGGCUUGCAACCCGGUCCCCGGCUUCCACGUCUACCCGCAGGCCUCUCGCCUCUUCGGGGAGUGCUCGCCCGACGUGAGCGUGGUCACGCCUUCCACGCCCGCGCCCGCGCCCAUCGACCUCAACGCCACCCCGAUGGUCGGUGGCUCGUCAUCCGGCGACACGAGGAAAUGCGCGCGGAAGACGCCGGCCGAUGGGCUCUCGGACGCCCGUAACCUGUUCGAGGAAAUGUCGUCCGCCGUCGACGAGGACUACAUGCAAAACCUCAACUUCGAGGGUGGUGCGCCGGGCGCUGGCUACUAUCCCGACGAGACACAAAGCCAGGACGGCCGCGGGGCGUUCACGCCGGCCGCUGGCUAUGAUCCCGAUCAGGCGGCCUUCAUGCAUGAUCAGGUCGGCAUCGACCUGGACGGCUUCCCCCUCGACCACGAGUUCCCGAACGACUACGGGCUAGAGGAAGAGGACGAGUGCGACAUCGAAGUGGAGCCUUUGUUCGAGGACGAGGUCGCCAACUAA